CUCUUGGUUCCUGCUGGCAGCAUUUUCUGACUCUGUUUUGUACCAUUAGCGUCUGGGGAGCACACCGCGGGACUUUCAUUCUGGAGGAAGGCUCAUUACAAUUAUCUGAGCCUCUGUCACCUCAGGAUCUGAUUACGGUGCUGGGGUUGCACCUUGAAAUCAUUACAAUUAAGACUUAAUGAAGUGAGUAACUACAGAGUCCUGCAGUUACUCCCCACCAACUUGCUGCAUCUGCCUCUAAUGCAGGAAUAGUUACCACCUGAUUUUUAUAAUUUUUAAGAGGUGAAACCUGGUGUUUCAAGUUUGUCCUGCAAAAUCCCACAAUGCUGGGUCUUUGUGAGCCUAGGCAGCUCCCCUUCCACAUCCCAACAUAGACUGGGUGAGCUUAGAGCAUGCUGCAGGCUGACAAUGGGUGCAUGUAUUGGGGUGAAGCUCUGUUUUUUGGUCUGGAAAGUGACCUUGAUGACAAGGAAAUCCUGGGUGAUGACUGUGGAGAAGGCUCUGCUCAUGUCCACUGAACUCUGGUCUAACUUCCAUGUGGUGCAGUAGGCUGAUGUGCCUGAGUGAGUUCCUGGGCAUUGGGAGCCUACAUCCCUGGGCAGGAGCCUACUUCUCUCCUAGGUUUGCUGUUCAUGAGCAAUGCUGGGCUUGAUCCUCCAGACUCUUUUGCUAGCAGAGCAGUGAAAAGAAAUGAUGGCAUGGGAAAAUGUGAAGUUUGUAGGGAUAAUGGGGAGGUUUGGUGAGGUUACCAUUCACAAAGGCAGCCCACAGUGGGCACGAGACCAGAGCUCCUGCUGCUAGCACCUCCUUGGCUCCUCCUGACGUGCCUUGAGGAUGUACCUGACCUGAGUCAGGAGAGCAGAGUGAAAUAUGGAGCUAACCAGCACUUGGACGCCUUCUGGCCACCCGGGGGUGAAAUGGAGCAUACGUGUAUGCAGGUCAGAAGACUUUUGAAGUGUUGCCAAGAUAACAUACUCCUUCUGCAUGGACUAGAGAUUGCUCAGAGGUGGCCUCUCUGCCCAUGUAAAGGUGGAACUGGAAGCAGACCUCGCACCUCUGGGGAGCUUUGCUUCGUCCUGCUUGGCUGCCUACUGAGAAAGAUCAUGCAGCAGGUAGCUAGCUUGAAAGUGUGAAACUGUUCAGAGACAAGGACACAAAAACCCAGUGCCAUGACUCUGAGCAGAUGACAAAGUAGCAGUUAAGGGAAGGAAGAUGGGCUUGUCAGCAUGUAAGGGGUUAUUAUUUCAGCCACGAGUGUAUUGAUGAUAUUUACCUGAAAUGCACUUCACUAUUGAGUGGCUUCAGUAGCUGUCAGAAAGAGACACUGGGAAUACCCAAGGAAACACAGACUGAAAUAGACUGAGAACAGACUGAGUUCAGGUCUAGAACUGAGAACAGCCUAGAGCAAGCACUGCAAGCUCAUUGGGGGCCCUAAUAACCGAAAAUACUCCUCCAAAGACUCAUUCUUCAGCUGGAAAAGCUUCUUGGGAGAUGCAAGAAUGCUCAACAAACUUCCCUUAGAACAGACUGAAAGAGAAGAAGCUCCAGAGGUCUGCAAAAUUUGAACACAAAACAUGCAAACUUCAGCUUAGUGACUCUGUAGGGUGCUAUUGCCCAUCCAAAGACGUGGUAUAGGUUUGAUGUGAAAUUCCUCAUGACUCCAUAAAAGCUGCAUACCAAAACUGAUAUGUAUUGUUUUUUUUUUUUUCCAGACAGACAUUUUCAAAUGGAGAAUUAUUUUGCUGUGACAUUCUUAACAACUUCUGUUUCAAUUUUAUGCUUGUGUCCUCUGACAGUGAGCCUUCUUUAUUUCCUCCAAAUUGACUAGGAAGGGCAGGCUCUCCACCUCCUUUGCUUACAGUCUGCUGAGUACUGACCACAUACGGAAAGUGAGGGUCUUUGCACCAAAGAAUCUGGUGUGGUCACAGAAAUAAAUGUCUCUGAAACAGUCAGACAGCUUUCUAGGAUUUGAUAUACUCUACCAGCUGAAAAAUGAACUUGCAAGUCUGAAAAGCCACUCAUGUGUCAGAUCUGAUGACAGUACUAGGUCACUCUUCAAUUUCAUAGUAAGAGACAGUAGGCUCAAUUCCCUACCUGGACUUCUCAGUGAAAUGAACUAUUUCUUAUAUAUAUUUUUUAACACACUUAGGCAAACAUAAAAUGCAGUACACGUUUCCUCAGAACCCGUCGGUUGUGCCUGUCUGAAUCACUUGACAAAAUAUUUUCUCUGAUCUUAUAUUGCAUUUCUAGUCCCAUCAGUAGCAAGGUAUUUUAAGGGAAAUAAUAACAAUGCAGAAGGAGGGCAGUGAGAGACUCUUGACAGGAGGAGUUUGAUGCCUCUGGGAAAACAGAAUCCAUUUACACAAAGUCUAUAUUCAGUUAUAAUGACGAGGCCUUGCAAGAGGCUCUGAGAUUUUA
Molecule: non-coding RNA, 2418 nt
Organism: Anas platyrhynchos (mallard)
Lineage: Eukaryota; Metazoa; Chordata; Aves; Anseriformes; Anatidae
Source: RefSeq, a predicted model, not a curated record